This 475-nucleotide ribosomal RNA is filed under the name Streptococcus salivarius. RNAcentral describes it as "bacterial SSU rRNA". It matches the Rfam family "Bacterial small subunit ribosomal RNA", at positions 28 to 486 of the family's 1533-position model. The record is from RNAcentral. Lineage: Bacteria; Bacillati; Bacillota; Bacilli; Lactobacillales; Streptococcaceae.
GACGAACGCUGGCGGCGUGCCUAAUACAUGCAAGUAGAACGCUGAAGGGAGGAGCUUGCUCUUCUUGGAUGAGUUGCGAACGGGUGAGUAACGCGUAGGUAACCUGCCUUGUAGCGGGGGAUAACUAUUGGAAACGAUAGCUAAUACCGCAUAACAAUGGAUGACCCAUGUCAUUUAUUUGAAAGGGGCAAAUGCUCCACUACAAGAUGGACCUGCGUUGUAUUAGCUAGUAGGUGAGGUAACGGCUCACCUAGGCGACGAUACAUAGCCGACCUGAGAGGGUGAUCGGCCACACUGGGACUGAGACACGGCCCAGACUCCUACGGGAGGCAGCAGUAGGGAAUCUUCGGCAAUGGGGGCAACCCUGACCGAGCAACGCCGCGUGAGUGAAGAAGGUUUUCGGAUCGUAAAGCUCUGUUGUAAGUCAAGAACGAGUGUGAGAGUGGAAAGUUCACACUGUGACGGUAGCUACCAG